Molecule: long non-coding RNA, 2091 nt
Organism: Phyllostomus discolor (pale spear-nosed bat)
Lineage: Eukaryota; Metazoa; Chordata; Mammalia; Chiroptera; Phyllostomidae
Exons: 2
Source: RefSeq, a predicted model, not a curated record
UGGAAGGAAACCGACUCGAAGGGGCCAGGAGGGGAGGCGCGUUCCCCUGCCUCUUCCUCACCCCUCGUUCUGCUUCAGUUUGCUUUCUGAGCACAUCUUCCAAGGACCUUCCAAGAAGGUAGGAUUGUGGUUCUGUUCUCAGGGGUCUGCCCAGCCAGAGAGCUCCACCCCCACCCUCUCGAGCAUUUGUCAGAUCCCAGAAGCUAUGUUUGGGAUGGAAAGACGGCCGAGACAGGGCUGCUGCCCCGAGGGGCUGGGGUUUGGCAGGAGAGACACACGAUGAACAAAACCACUGGACAGAUGAGGACACCGAGGCACAGAGGGAGCGAUGAGUCCGCUCAGGGCCAUGCACCUGGCCAGUGGUCCAGCUGUGAGCCUGGCAGUGGGCCCCGGAACACUGUGCCCGGGGCGGGCGUCAUCAGUCUGCCCGGGAGGGAAUGAGUGGCAGCGAGCGAGGGAGCGAGCUGAAGCUAGCCAGCCGGGAUUUCCACGAGACCCCUCCAAACUGCAGAGCCCACGCUGCUGACCACUGGGCCGUCUUUCUCUAGACUAGAUGUGUGACUUGGGGCCUUUAUUUUGAGCUUCAGUUUCCCAGUUUCAGUAAAGCCUUCCCAACCUUCCCCAGUGGGCUGCAGGGGUGCUUGGUGGAGGGCCCAUGUGGAUAAACCUUGGGGUGUCAUACUAACACAGUCAGUAGGCUUCAGUUGACUCAAUGGUUCUUUGGGACCGUGGCAGGGGCCACGGAGGAGGAGGAGGGUUGUCACUGCGUGGGAGUGGGGAGCCCAGCCCCUCCACUUCUCUCUGAGGGUCCGUAGAGCCCCAGCCACAGGCCCCCGUGUCAGACGCCUGCCACCCAGGGUCUCUGCAUUCGAGGGAGUUCACCUUCUGAAGCAGCCCCCCCCAGCCUGGGGGCCUCGGUUGUGCAUCUUCUGUGCGGGCCCUGGUGCCGUCUCAUAGGAUGGCUCUGUUGUCACUUACGAAAUUAGUUACCUGUUGGUCCAGAAGUCACAUCAGGAGAAACAGCGAAAGUCACGUAACAAGACAUGGGACAGGUGUGCUCUCUGAGGGGAUGGUGCUGUGUUGACAUGGGUCCCCACUAUUUACCCAGUGCUAGGAAGCUAGCACAUUACCACCUUCUGUAAGGUCAGCUUCAGGGCUCCCGAUGAAUGGAGGUAAAAUAAUGUCACAUCGUGACAUGUCGUCCUCCCGAAUGACAACCAUCAUCUCUGUCAGGCGCCGAGGUUCCUUGAACAUCUCGGUCCUGAGCCUGUUCUGUGUGUCCACUGGGAAAAUGAACGUCGGGGGGGUGGGUGGCCCCUCACAGUCCUGCUCCAUUGUCCUCUCAGGCAUGAAGCCUUUCACUCGGGUCUUGUUUAAAUCCCAGCGCUUCCCUUCCAAAUGGUUUCUAAGGGGAAACACAAAAAAGAACGUUCCAGAAUGCUCUGCUGACCCAGGGAGGAUCUGCCAGAGCCAUUUCCUGGAUUACAGCCUCUCCCCCCAUCAGCAGAUUGUGUGAAGCAGGCUCCCGUCAGCUGUGAGCCCUGGUGUGGGAAAAAGGGCUGACACACAGGGCUCUUUUUCAUAAAGCUGACAUUGCUCAUGAAUAGCAAAUUCCUGAGUGUGGGCAGUCGACCAAGACCAGGAAUUCUCAUUAGCUGGUGGUCAUCAGGCAUGACUCGGCCUGCGGAAGGCAGCGGGGAGGAGAGGUCAUCCGUGUGGGCAGGGACGGCCCGCAGUCGAUGAUCGAGCACCAUCUUGCUAGAGUGGUUGCUGAAAAUGCUGGAAUGCUCUGUAUGGGCCAGUAACUCCCUGCACCUCCCCAGCAGCUCCACGGCUCCGCCCCUCCUUGGGGACCUCCACCUUCUGUCAGUUCAGCAGCCAGAGGGUUUGGGCUGACCUGGCAAAGUCUCCCAGACAGGGUCCAGCUGACCAGGAAUGAGGAUCUGAUCCUCUAUCAGGCUACACCGGAAAACCUUCACCUUCCCUUGUAAAUUCUCUCCCUCUCCUGCUGCUCGAAGAGACAAAAUGUAACACUUGGAGCCCGAUUGCUGGUCCACAGAAGAUGCCUAACAAAUGCUAGAUCCUUCCUGC